AUUGAACGCUGGCGGCAGGCCUAACACAUGCAAGUCGAGCGGAUGAAGGGAGCUUGCUCCUGGAUUCAGCGGCGGACGGGUGAGUAAUGCCUAGGAAUCUGCCUGGUAGUGGGGGAUAACGUCCGGAAACGGGCGCUAAUACCGCAUACGUCCUGAGGGAGAAAGUGGGGGAUCUUCGGACCUCACGCUAUCAGAUGAGCCUAGGUCGGAUUAGCUAGUUGGUGGGGUAAAGGCCUACCAAGGCGACGAUCCGUAACUGGUCUGAGAGGAUGAUCAGUCACACUGGGACUGAGACACGGUCCAGACCCCUACGGGAGGCAGCAGUGGGGAAUAUUGGACAAUGGGCGAAAGCCUGAUCCAGCCAUGCCGCGUGUGUGAAGAAGGUCUUCGGAUUGUAAAGCACUUUAAGUUGGGAGGAAGGGCAGUAAGUUAAUACCUUGCUGUUUUGACGUUACCAACAGAAUAAGCACCGGCUAACUUCGUG
RNAcentral lists this ribosomal RNA (484 nucleotides) under uncultured bacterium. RNAcentral's name for it is "partial 16S ribosomal RNA". It matches the Rfam family "Bacterial small subunit ribosomal RNA", at positions 30 to 507 of the family's 1533-position model. The record is from RNAcentral.